UACAGAGGUGGCAAGCGUUGUUCGGAAUUACUGGGCGUAAAGGGCGCGUAGGCGGUCUUUUAAGUCUUGUGUGAAAUCCCUCGGCUCAACUGAGGAACUGCACGGGAUACUGGAAGACUUGAGUUCGGGAGAGGGAAGCGGAAUUCCGGGUGUAGCGGUGAAAUGCGUAGAUAUGCGGAGGAACACCGAUGGCGAAGGCAAUCCCCUGGGCCUGCACUGACGCUCAUGCACGAAAGCGUGGGGAGCAAACAGG
RNAcentral lists this ribosomal RNA (253 nucleotides) under uncultured bacterium. RNAcentral's name for it is "partial 16S ribosomal RNA". It matches the Rfam family "Bacterial small subunit ribosomal RNA", at positions 524 to 776 of the family's 1533-position model. The record is from RNAcentral.